This 17447-nucleotide long non-coding RNA is filed under the name Homo sapiens (human). Its description in RNAcentral is "HSALNT0098235". Lineage: Eukaryota; Metazoa; Chordata; Mammalia; Primates; Hominidae. The record is from RNAcentral.
UUUAUUUCUUGGGGGUGAGACUGGAAAAGGGGAGAUAUGUUUCAUUUUAAGCCUGUUUGAAAUUUUUUACCAUGGGCACUUACUGCUUUUGUAAACAAGGAAUUCUUUCAUGUUUAAAACAUGGUGGUGAGCAGUUGCUGAGCCGCGCAGGGCAGGACUCCUCCUCUCGCUCCAGCUGCUUGUUAGCAUCGAGUCUCCGGGUAAUUUUGACAGCGCCAAGCAAGCCCCAGAGCUGAGUGCCAACACGUCACUCUACAGAGUGCCCUGUGCUGGUCAUUAGAGCCCUGCUCCUGUUCUGUGGCUAUAAUCCUAGCACUUUGGGAGGCCGAGGCAGGUGGAUCACCUGAGAUCAAGAGUUCGAGACCAGCCUGGCCAACAUGGUAAAACCCUGUUUCUACUAAAAAUACAAAAAUUAGCUGGGCGUGGUGGUGGGCACCUGUAAUCCCAACUACUCGGGAGGCUGAGGCAGGAGAAUCACUUGAACCCAAGAGGCAGUGGUUGCAGUGAGCCGAGAUCAUACCAUCGCACUCCAGCCUGGGCAACAGAGCAAAAACUCCGUCUCAAAAAAAAAAAAAAAAAAAGACAAAACAGAACAAACAGAAGCAGCCCUUUCUGGGUAGCAAGGGCCGCGGUGGUGGCAGUGGCUGGUGGCUGGUGGCUGGCAGCUUGAUUUCCUACCUCAAGCUCCCUGAUGCCUGCUGGAAGGGUUCUCCAGACAGCCCGACUGCAGCUGGAGCCACAGGUACCAGGCCUGAAGACCAAGCAAUAAAUCAUUAGCAGAUUGGCCCACGGAUCACUUCCCUUUUGGGGCGCUGCCUGGCACUUCCCAAGAGGAAGAAAUUUAUCAGCACUUGGCUGGCUGCCCUGUGCUCGCACAGUCGCGGGCUCCCAGUAGGUCACACCGAGUGGCCCCUCCUCCUCAGACACAGGGCUGUGCCUGGGGAGGCCCAAGAAAGCCAAAGAAUAGGCCACGGGCUCAGAAGACAGGGUGAGAAACACUUAGUCAGCAUAAUCCCUGCCAAUCACACCAGGGCUUCCGGUAAUACCAAGAGGGGAGCGGGUGAGAAGGUGGAUUCUGAAUCUGACCACGUAACUCUGCACUGCCACGAAGGCCCCAGCUCAUGCCCCGCGCUCAGCAGAGAGUGGGCUUGGGCCUCAUCUUCCUGUAACCGGGGGCUGGGGACCACUUUGAUCUCACUGUUCCCCUUGCUGCUGUUCACACCAGUACGGCGCCUUCAAGAAGUUAUCCCAGGGCAAUUUUCCACCUUUGAAGUCCCCGGAAAACCCUGCCAAAAGCCGUUCUGGUGUGAGGAUGCUGCAGGGGCAGGCAGCCUGGUGCCGCGGCCUCCCGGGUGCCAGAACUGGAACAUCGAGACAUCAAAGGCGAAGGUGGCAGCAGGGCGAUGAGUAAGCUCCGCUGCAGGCUUGGCCUCGGCCCCAGAAGCCUUCUCCUCAUCUCCCAGUGGUGGCUGAGCAGGACUAGGGAGACGACCCAGAGAGCCUGGAGACCUGGCUUGGGGGAAGCCCUGUGGAUGCUUCUGGAGGCGGACACUUCCCUGCUGCUCUGUGCCUGGUAAAGGCACCGACCACUGCAGAGCAGAAGCAGAGUCCAAUCCUGGCUCCAAAGCGCCCCUGACUGCAAAGCUUUGGUACUGUUAUUACCACCGUGAAACAGGUGGGGAAACUGAAGCAUGAGGAGCUUGAGUAAUGUGUGUUAGAUCACGCAACCAGUAGUGGCAGAGCUGGAAUUCCGACCUGGGACUGCCUCCAAAGUUCUUGCGUAAGAAUACAGCUGCUACACUUGCCCUUCUUCAGCUGAGACCAAGGAGGGAAUUCUGAUUGAAAGCAAACCAGGGAGGAAAGAUGCACUAGCACUGACCUGUAACAGGUCAAUCUGUGCCAUGGCAUGGCGAGACGAAGUGGAGAACCCAUGUCUCAUUGGAAUCCCGGAUCAUCGUCUCCACGAAGGCUGUCUUCUGCAGCACUCCAGGGACUCACGGCUCUGGGCUUAUUGCUCAGUGUCAUGUGACAGUAAGUUUUGGCGAAGGCCGUUUGUAAGGUGAUUUUAGUGGCUGGCUUUGAGUGGCUUCCCUCCAGAUUCACAAAGGUUGGGCCACUGUUCCAGAGAACCUGAAAUCAGAACCUGAUUUCAGAACCUGAGAACCUCAGAACCUGAGCCACAUCAGCUUUUGCCAACAAACUCCAUGGUUUUGUUGUUGUUGUUGCUGCUGCUGCUUUGUUUGCUUGUUCUGUUGCUGUGUAAUGAAUCUUCUUGCCAUUGGCUCUUUCUCUGCCUUUAUUCUAGGUUUGUACCAGGCACAUCUCCAGAAUUGUUGUCCUUUAGAAAAACAUCUUGGUUCCAAUGAGAAAACAAAUAAAGAAAGCUAGAGUCUUAAAAAGCGAAUUCGGAAAUCAAUCUAUCGACCAGAUCAUUAUCGGGGGCGGGGGGGCCGAAGGGGUCGGGGAGGGCCAUGGUGGUGAAUAGAGAACAACUUUUCAUAGCUCUCCUUUACAGGAAAAUCCAGUAUGGUUUAUCUCUUCCCAAAAUAUUCAUGAUGGUCAUGAAGUAACCCCUGAGCCUGGAAUUGAGUUAAGUUUGGUAUUCACAAAGCUGUGUAACUUUGAACAGGUUGCUUCCCUUCUCUGAGCCUCCGUUCCCCUAUCUGGAAAUCUUGUUAGAUCAUUUCUUUUUUUUUUUUUUUUUUUUUCAGACGGAGUCUUGCUCUGUAGCCCAGGCUAGAGUGCAGUGGCACAUCUCGGCUCACUGCAAGCUCCACCUCCUGGGUUCACGCCAUUCUCCUGCCUCAGCCUCCCAAGUAGCUGGGACUACAGGCACCCACCACCACGCCUGGCUAAUUUUUUGUGUUUUUUAGUAGAGACGGGGUUUCACUGUGUUAGCCAGGAUGGUCUCGAACUCCUGACCUCGUGAUCCGCCCGCCUCGGCCUCCCAAAGUGCUGGGAUUACAGGCGUGAGCCACCGUGCCCGGCCCUUGUUAGAUAGUUUCUAAGAUCAUUAUAGUUCUAACAUUCUGUGAAUUUAGUGCCUGGCAUACACUAAGUGGAAGGAGAGAGAAAGAAAGGAAGGGAGAGGUGAAGGGAGGGAGAAAUCAAUCUGUGAAAGCUGUCUUUCAUAGAGACAAGAAUGAGUGUCUUUUCUGCCUCCAAGGACACUGCCUCUAUCUCCUCAGCACAUGCUGAGUUGAACUGUUGAUAAUGUAAUAAGCUCUGCCUCAUUCUCCCUUGAAAUACCACUUUUUAGCCUGUGUUGUCACAGAAGAAAAUGAGUCAAUUAGAGAAUUCAAGCAAGAGUGCUCUUUAAAAAGGACAUGUAGAUAGUUAAUUGCAGUCAAUUAGACCUGUUGUCUUGGUGGCUGGGUCUCCAGAUAGGAGAAGAAUGGGAAACGCCCAAAGGUUACUCAUCUCUGGCAAGGAAACGCUGAGCUGUGCCAUUUGACAGUGGCAUCCAGGAAGUGUUGGAGCAUCCAACCCUGUCUCCAGGGAGGCUGGCCUCUUCAUCCCUGAUCUCAUCUGCAGGACUUUUUCCCCACUAAGAGGAGCAAAGUUCAAGCACUUUCUCCUUGCCACUGGAGAGAUGAGACACAAAUCAUAGUUAAAAGAAUGGCAUGGCAGGGCUGUGGGACAGCAGGACACACUGUUCUCAGGGAAAUGGUUAUUGGGCAUUUUGCAGAAUGUUUUGAGGAAGCAACUGCUCCUAAGAAUACUGUUAUGUUUGAGCAAUUUCAGACAAAUCUUGGAAAGUUUCUUCACAUGGUGAUAUCAGUUAGGCCCUAUCAACCUCUUCAAAUGAAGCCAAAAUUACCUCUUCUAACCCAACUCCAUAGCUGGUAGAAAUCUAGUGCUACCCCAGAUUCCUGCCAACCUCCAUGUCAUGGAGAUUGGCAACCAAAUUUAUAUGUUGAAGUCCCAGCCCCCAGUACCUUGGAAUGUGCCCUUAUUUGGAAAUAGGUUGCUGUAGACUUAAUUAGCUAAAGUACAGCCACAUCCAAGUAGGGUGAACCCCUAAUCCAAUAUAACUGCCAUCCUUAUUAGAAAAAGAAAUUUGGAGAUUGCCCCACCCCUCGAACCCACACAAACACGGAGAAUGCCAUGGGAAGAUGAAGGCAGAGAUUGGGAUGGUGCUUCUACAGGCCAAGGAAUGUGAAGGACUGCCAGCAGCCCCCAGAAGCUAGGCAGGAAGCAUAGAACAGUUCCUUCCUCAGAACCCUCAGAAGGAACCAACCCUACCAACACCUUGAUCUCAGACUUCCAGUCUCCAGAACUGUAAGACCAUAAAUCGUGUUGCUGAAGCCACUGUCUUACAGUUUGUGGUAUUUCGUUACGGGAGCCCUAGCGAAUGAAUACACUCUGCCCCUACUGAGGAGAUGGUGUUAUGGGAGCUUUGGUCCUCCAGGACCCGCCUCCAGAGCUCUGCCUUUUUCUAUACCUGCUCAACCCAGAAGUGAAACUGCGCUCCUCUUUGCCUGACCCACCACUGGGCACUCAUAUGAAGCUUAUGUGAACUUACUAAAGGUUUGAGAAGGAUGCAAGUCAAGGCCAGUCCUGAAGUGCACACUCUCCAUAAUCCCUGAAGACUCAGACUCUCCUCCUUUACCCUCUCUGUUCCCAAAGCUCCUGGAAGCUCAAAUUCCUUCUGAGCUUUCUCCAUUUUUUUUUUUUUUUUUUUUUUUUUUUUUUUUUUUACAGAGCAGUUUCCCACAUCCUCUGAGAAUUUGCCACCUGCUGCCACCCAGACCCUGAGGAAAGACCCCUUCCUCCAAAGCUCUUUUCAACAUAUUUCUCCAGGCAAAGCUAUUUUCUUCCUCACUGGCACAAAACAUUUUUAAAAAUUAAAUCAUUGUCACUGAUUAAAACAAAAAGAUACUGACUGUAUUAAUUUUCUAUUGCUGCAUAACAACUUACUACCUAUUUAGUAGUUUAAAACACACAUGCAUUUUCUCACUGUUUCUGUAGGUCAGGAAUCCAGGCACCACUUAGUCGGGUUUUCUGUUUAAGAUCUUCUCAAGGCUGCAGUCAAGGUGUUGACAGGGCUGUGUUCUCAUCUGGAGGUUUGACAGGGAAGAGUUCACUUCCAAACUAGCUUGGGCUGUUGGCAGAAUUCAUUUCCUUGUGGUUGGAAGAGGCAAGCCCUCAGCAUCUUGUUGGCUGUGGGCUAGAGGGUGCUCUCAGCUCCCAGAGGCAGCUUCUCCUUGCCAUAUAGGCUUUCCAACAUGGCUGUUCACCUCCUUAAGCCAACAAAGAGAGUCUCUAGAGUGAGUCAGUUAACAAGACAGAAACUUUCACAAUGUAAGGUAAUCAUAGGAGUUACAUUUCAUCACCUUUGUCAUAUUUUCUUGGUUAGAAACCAGAGGUCCCACCCACACUUAAAGGGAGAGAAUUACACAAAGGUGUGAGAGUUAAGGAUCAUGGGAAGCCAUUUUAAAAUUUGUCUGCAUAUGACAAUGCAGCAGGUACAAUUGGCUCCCCGGCAGCCAGCCCACCCCCUAGCUCCAGGGGAAAGCCUGAUUGGUCCAAAGGUAACCAUGCUCUUUUCCAUGAUUGGUUUGGGAAUGAGCAUGUGACCCAUCUCCAGCCUAUGAUGUGAGAAGUGUACUGAGUAACUUCUUAGUUUCCUUGCUCCUAAGACGGAACUAGGAAAAAUGAUGGUUUCUUUUCUUCCUCAGGAUGUUUUAGUGUUUAGUUGGAACCCUGGAUCUGCAGCAACCAUCUUGCUACCAACUUGAGGGUGAAGCCAGCCGUAAGAAUAGCAGGCCGGAAAGAUGGAAGAAACCUGGCUUUCCAAUGUCAUCAUUUGGUUGCUGAAUCAAUUGUACCUAAAGCUCACUCUAUCUGUUUUACCUUGAGUUAGGGUUGCCGUUGCUUGCAGCUAAACGCAUCUUCUUUUUUUUUUUUUUUUUUUUUUUUUUUGAGAAGGAGUCUUACUCUAUCACCCAGGUUGGAGUGCAGUGGCGCGAUCUCAACUCACUGCAACCUCCACCUCCCAGGUUCAAGUGAUUCUUGUGCCUCAGCCUCCCACGUAGCUAGGAUUACAGGCGUGAGCCACCACGCCCGGCUUAUUUUUGUAUUUUUGGUAGAGAAGGGGUUUCGCCAUGUUGCCCAGGCUGGUCUUUAACUUCUGGACCUUAGGUGAUCCACCCGCCUCAGCCUCCCAAAGUGCUGGAAUUACUGGCAAGAUCCACCACACCCAGUCUAAAUGCAUCUGAAUAUAACAUGACUCUCCUAGAGAAAAACCUGGAACCCAGAGCACCUGAAUAGAAACUCUUAAUUAUAUCAAUGAGGAAUAGUUAACUUAGCCAAGUUUCCAUUGAAUAUGAAGAACUGUAAAAUAAUGUCAGUUCUAGCCAAGAACUGAAAAGUAAUGUCAGUACUCUAUAAUGUGUAAUUCAUAGUUGCUACAUGUAAUCAGGCUUGGCCAAUUGUUUCCAGGAAGAUGGCACCCUCAUUUCUGAAUGAGGAUGACCAUUUUCCACUAAUCCAGAGGUAAAACAGUCAUUGUAACUGCACUGAAAUUUGCUGUAUCAAGUGAGACAUGAAGGUAAAUGUCAUUGGCCCAGAGUAAUUAGUCUUUUCCAGUGCUUAAAGGAAGGGAGAGAAACUAAUGCCUAUUGAGUGCCUUCAAAGCUUCUGCAAUGUGCUGGUACCCACAUGUUUCCAAUUAUUCCUCACAACACUAUGGAGAGGUUAUUUUGCCUGUUUUGCUGAUCAGGGAACUGAGACUCACAGAGUGACACCAACCCAUCAGUAUUUCAGGUUUCUGGGGAGGGUCCAGAGAGCAAGGGGGAAGCUGCUAAUUGCUUGUUGGUUCAAGAGAAAUGUUAUCUCAGUAGACUAACGUAUGGACUUUCUGAUGUCAGAAAAUGCAAACUAUGUAGUGUAACCUGUUUGCCAUUUUUUCUUUGUAUCCGCAAACUGACAGCAAAAUAUAUUGCACAAGUAUUAUAAAUCUGUUCAGUUCAAGUGCCAGAGAACAUUUACUCUGCUUCCUUCAUGAGGUAAUUCAAAACUUUGUUUUUAAUAUUUAUUGAGUGUCUGGGUAGGUAAACUGCUAUGCCGUCCUAUGGGGAAUUUCAGAUGUGUUGUCUGUGUGUGUGUGUGUGUGUAUGUGUGUGUGUGUGUGGUGUUUUCUGGUUUUGAUUGUUGACGUUUUCUUGAUUUUUUUUGACAGGAGCAUCUUUAGAUAUUUAUUUAUUUUAUAAUUCAUACAUACAUAUAGUAAAAAGUUCAGAUAGUUUUAAAAUAUAGUGAUGUGUAAAUCUCCCCUCACUUGUGAGCCCCAGGCAUUCAGCUCCCCUCCCUAGACGCAAUUAUUGUAGUCAGUUCAAAGCUUGUUUGUGCACAUACAAGUCUCUGUGUAUAUCCUCUACACACACCCAGAAGAGCAUACUAUACAUGCUCUAGACUGUGUUAUGUUUCUUUGAAUGGCUACGAUGUAAUUUAUUAAUCCAGUUCCCUAAUAAUAGGCAUUUAGGUACUUUUCAUGUUUUUCUCAAUGUGUAAUUGUACCAUUAAAAUUCUUGGGUUUUUUUUUGGUUUUUUGGUUUUUUAUUAAGAGUCUCGCUCUGUUGCCCAGGCUGGAGUGCAGUGGCGUGAUGUCAGCUCACUGCAACCUCCGCCUCCCAUGUUCAAACAAUUCUCGUGCCUCAGGCUUCCGAGUAGCUGGGAUUACAGUCGCCCACCACCAUGCCUGGUUAAUUUUUUUGUAUUUUUUAGUAGAGACAGGGUUUCACCAUGUUGGCCAGGCUGGUCUCAAACUCCUGACCUCGAGUGAUCCGCCUCUCUUGGCUUCCCAAAGUGUUGGGAUUACAGGCAUUAGCCACAGCGAAAAUCCUUGUAUUCAUGCCUUUGCCCAUGUUUGCAAGUAUAACUGGGAGAUAAAAUGCUAGAAUUGCAGGGUCCAAAAAAAAGCACAUUUUAAUUUUAACAACUAUAACCCAGUUGCCUUCCAAAGAGGCUGUACACAUGUUUCCCUGUCUCAAACAGUGGUGAGCAUGCCUGCUCCCCUACAAACUCACCAGCUCAGAGCAUUAUCAGGCUUCUCAUCUCUGCCAACCUGGUAAGUACAAAGGGCAUCUCUUGUAGUUUCGGUUGCAUUUUUCUCAUUAUGAGAUUGAGCAGCAGACAAUGUCUUUAAAAGACUUAUUUUGCUCUGGGUUUUAAUCUUAAAAUACUCUAAAUCCUCUUAGAAGUAGGUAGGGUCAGAUCUUCAAUCUGGAUGGAUUUACGUAAUGGGUCUAUGAAAGGGAUAGAAAGUCAAAGCAAGGGGGUGAGGCGGGGGAAUGAUGCGAAGUCAAAGCCCUCCCCCUCGGGGGCCCCUAGCCCAUCCCUGAUCCCUCACCCUUUGCAGGGCAUGUCCAGAGCUGCCACUGCCCUGGGCCUCCACCCCACAGCCCAGGACCACACCUUAACCUGGAAAGUCGUGGACCUCCUCAGGGGAGCUCAGGGAUCAGAUGGGCCGAUGGGUGUUACUGUGGCCAGGAGCACUGGGUCUUGAGUAUGUGGGUGGAACUUUCCCUCAUCCCCUGACCACGUCUAACCACAUGGCCUCUCCACUUUGAUAGUGGCGAGAAGAGUAGCCUCUUGCUUUUGCAUGUUUUCCUAAUCACAGCGUGCUUUCUUGUCUGCUAUUUCAUUUGACUUUUUUCAACCAGCCGCUGAGGUGGGGAUUAUUAGCACGCCCUUUGCAGAUGAGGAAACUGAAGCCCAGGGAGCUUUGGCAACCUGCCCAAGGUCACACAGCCAGUGAAGGAAAGGGCUGAAAUCAAACCAGGCCUGUCUGACUGCAAGGCAGGGUCUUACGGCUGCCUCCGGUGGGUAGGUCCGGGACCCAGCUGGUUUCCGUCCUGUGGCUCAGGUGCGAGGAGAGCCUCCCUGGGCCACCUGGGGAAGUCUGACUGACGUGCCAGAUCCUCACAGAACAAAGGUAAGGCCUCAGCCUUCCCCCUGGCCCAGGUCUUUCCAUGUCCAGUGCAUUCCUGAAUGCUCCCAGUACUCUGGAAAAUGGGGAUUCAUGCUGCCAUUUUAAUUGGAACCCAAUCUGUUCUGACUUCAAAUCUAGUGCUCCUUCUCCAUCCACCCACCCUCCCUGAACCAUGCCCAGGAGAUCGAGAGAUUUUCCUAAUAAACAAGUCAUGUGCUACAAUGCAUGUGCUACACAACCACUGCCCGCUUUGUCUCUCCCCCUAGGAGAGAAGGGGACUCCUGAGAGGCCCCAGCAGCGUUAUCUGGGCAGAGAAAGUGAGUUUGAAGACCUCACACUCCAUCUGGACUUUAUCAGCUCCUUUCCUGGGUAGGAUUACAGUAAACGAUUAUCUACAGAUCUGGAGCCAGCAAGGACUUUGAAGGCCCCAAUUGCCAAGGGGGUGGUGAAAUGGGGGAAGGGCUGGAGACGCAGGAGAUGAAAAAGCAGUGCAGGCAUCUUAUCUUCCUCCUGAAAUCAAACAGGCUGGGCCUGGGCAGGGUGGGAGAGGUACCCUGUCUGUGAGGCUGACAGUCUCUAGCCCUGGCUGGCCACAAAAGAUACAGAGAGAACCAGAUGAAGGCCCUUCACUGUCUUCUCCUGAUCCUCUCUCCCUCCUCCUGGUUUCUUUUAUUAAUUCAUUCAUUCACUUGCAUCUUUCAGCCUGUUAGUUACAAUAUCUGACACGCUCUGAGCUCUCCCGCCAAGCCAAGUGCUUAGCAUCCAUCCCCUCAUGUGGUCUUCACCAUGACCUUCUGGGAGAGGUGCCAGAAUUAGGCCCAUUUUACAGAUGAGGAAAAUGAAGCCCCAGAGGCUAAGUAAUAGGAUGAGCCUGGGAUCACACAGCUAGUAAAUGGUAGGGUCUGGAUUCUCUUAAACCUGCAUACAUUUAUUCUUCCAUUUCCCCCUGCCUGCCUGCUUUCCUCUCAUAAUUCAUUUAUGUAUUCAGUUUUUCAUAUUCCCAUUGCUUGUUCAUUUUGAAGUUCCUUCCCUUCUUGCUUAUGCAUUUCUUCUGUCCCUUCCUGUCUUCCUCCUGUCUCUUCCUUCCUUCCAUGACCACAUCCUGAGCCUACUGUGUGCCCUGUCACCCUGCCAUCAGGACAUGGGGCUCCUGACAGAUGACUGCUGGGGAGGGAUAUGUGAGACCACCUCCUCCAGGGUCGACCUCCUCAAAUGAGGCUUUUGGGCUGUGCCUCCCUAUGCCUGAUUUGUCCCAGUGUUUGCCAAAAAUUUUAGGCUUUGAUAAUCUUGUGAAGAUGUUUCAGCCAAGCAAGUCUUGAGACUCCAUUGGUGUGGGAGUAAAAGUGGCCUGGGGAAGCCACUUCUUGCAGUUUCCCCUAAGCAAGGCUCUUUCUGUCCUUGCUGUUCUGACAUCCACUCCCUCAGCAAACAUCAUUAAGGACCUAUCAUGGGCAGCCCCUGGGGCCCACUCCCAUCCUCUAGCUGUCUCGAUUUCAUACCUCCCUAGCUCUAGAAAAUUCACUCCUAGAAGGCAGGGAAUUGGCGUCAAGGAACGGGUUCACAGCCUUGGACUCCUUUAUUCAUUCAUCUUUUUUCCUAGCACCUAACACAGGGCCUGGCUUAGACUGAAGGCUAAUAAAUACAGGAUCAAAAGGCAGUGAACCAUCAUUCUCUGUCACUCUCCAGGAGCUGGCCCACUCACCGUGCUAGACAUUGUACUGGAUAUAGUAGUCCCGCAUCGUUGUAUCACUCUCAUUUCUAGCUGGAGAAGUACCCCUCCUUUUCUAGGUGCGGUUAUGGGGUCGCUAUCACCUGAAGUGCCCGCCACUCACCCUGUAGUCUUGGGUGGGUAUGUGAUCUCAGCUAAAACAGUCGAGGUCUCUCUCCCUGGGCUUGGAAUUGUAAACCAAGUGAUGCAGAGAAAGAAAAAACACAAGCCCUUGGAGCCCAUCACAUCCCAUCACCGAUGAGGCUGUCCAGCGGUUCUGGCCCUCAGAAGCCCCAGAGAACUCCAGUUUCUGUCCUUUUCCGAGUGUGGCUUUCUGUCCACUUUAUGGCUGCUCAACCUCCCUCCAGUAUGCCCCUUCUCCCCUUAGUCAGUGAAUGUCUGUUUCUGUGCUUGCAAAUGAUAAAUCCUAAAUGAUGCCCCAGGACAUGGUUUCCAAGGCCAGCUAUUGGAGCCUCACCAGAAAUGUUCAUUCUGCCUCAUCAGUGUCUUGGCUAUUGCCUUUUUGGAACUGCUCUGACCUCUCCUCUUUCCAUCCUGCAGCACCCCCUCUCUCAGCACCAGGGAGCUCCUCCAGGAGCACUUCCUCCCAUGUCUGUGUUCGCCGUUAAGACUGGACACACCAGGAUGAUCUUUCAACUUUGGGUCCAAAGGCCCUCAGUGGAUGUAAAAUAGGUACAUGAGGCCUUGAACUGAACAUUUUUUUCACUUCACCAUAACCUGGAUUUUCCCAGUUUAGGAGCAUCUGUUUGUCUUGAUAACGUUUGGAACAAAGUGAAAAAAACUGGACUUUGAAGAGAACUUCAGGUGAAUUACACAUUUAAGUCAGAUUUUCCAUGUCUUUGUCCCAUGUUCAGUAAUUCAAGCUGUUAGGAGCCCUCAACUUUGUACAUAUAUUUCCUUCCUAUCUCUGCCUCUUCAUACCUGGUACUUACCGUGGAAUUUGAAAUCUUUCUGUGGCUGUAAGCAAGAAAGGCGGGAAAAAUACAAGAAGUUAAAGGGGAUUGGAUGGUUCAGAUUUGGUUGAUGAAUGAGAUGGUUUAGAGGCAUGUCUUGUAAGAGAUAAUUUUCUAUGUGCCAGGUACUAUUUAUGAAUCCCACAUUAUCUUAUUAAUGCUCACAACAAGCCUUGGGGGUAAAUAGAUUAUCAUCGCCAUUUCACAGAUUAGGAAAGUGAGGUUUCAGCAGUCAAUUGCUCAAAGGUCUCCUGCUAGUGAAACAGUCGUCUAUCCAAACAGUCUGAAUGACCUGUGCACAUGGGAACGUGCCACGCAAGCCAAGGGCAGGAAGGAUGAGAAGAGGUGGGCAGAAAGCCAGCUGGGAUGAAUGAAGGACCUACUACGUGCAGGCCCAGGGUCAGACAUUUUAUUUUCUUGAUUGCACUUCAGCCUCCCAGCAGCCCUGUUUUACAGAUGAAGAAACUGAGGCUCAAAGAGCUGGAGAAAGUUGUUGCCCAGGGUCCUGUGGAGAGAAAACUCAAGCUCCGGCUGUUCCACUACUCUGGGACACCACCCCCAGUGGGAACCCCACUUUUACAAGGAUUCGAAGGUAGGUGAGGACUUAUCUCCUGAAAUAAUUAGUAUACUUACUUUUUUGUUACAUAUUCCCACUAAAGGUUUGCAGCCCCACCCAGCUUGAAUAUCAGGAGAAUGGCAACAAAAUCUGGUUCAAGGCUCACAGAAUCCACGAAAGAUGCCAGCCCCUCCACGGUUGGAGAGUGAUUCACAAAUGUGUCUUUAAGGACUUUCCCAGGCCGGGCACAGUGGCUCACACCUGUAAUCCCAGCAAGCCGAGGCGGGAGGAUCACCUGAGGUCAGGAGUUUGAGACCAGCCUGGCCAACAUGAUGAAACUCCGUCUCUACUAAGAAUACAAAAAUUAGGCAGGCGUGGUGGCAUGCACCUGUAAUUCCAACCACUUGGGAGGCUGAGGCAGGAGAACUGCUUGAACCGGGGAGGCAGAGGUUGCAGUGAGCCAAAAUCACACCGCUGCACUCCAGCCUGGGCAACAGAGUGAGACUGUGUCUCAACAACAACAACAACAACAACAAACAGAAAAAAAAGAAAAAAAAAGGACUUCCCCAUCUCAGAGCAGAAGACAAACCCAGGUGACUCUGAGUCUGCACAGAAAAGGCAAGGGUGACCAAGAGUGAGGAGGUUAAGCACCUGUUGCUUUCAGCUCAGGUCCUGACCACAGCCCUUAAUAAGGACAAACCUCUCAGAUUGCUGCAGCCUUCAAUACGCAUGUUCCUAUAGUGCCUGGCCAAUAAGAAGUACUUACACAGUAGCUGUUAUUAUUGUAAAGGCGGCGCAAAGAGUUAAGGAAGGCCGGUAGCUAAGCUGAAUCUGAGUUGCAUCUUGUAGGCCAUGGUAUGUGAAAGAAGGGCAGGCCAGGAGGGGGAACAGAGUGAGUAAAGCCCAGAGGCAGGGGCAUGGAAAAGCAGGGAGGAGUUAAGCUUGGGGCAAAUAUCCUAAAUGAAGGGGAAUAAAAGGCAACAAAGUUUGCAAGUUGCACCGGGGCCACAUCUUGGAGUUGUUUGAGAACAUGUCCCAUGAGGCUGCAUUUAACACCAGCCACUCGCGCUUCCACCCCAACAGCAGGAGUAUCACAUCCACAUGCCAUGUGCGCAAUUCCUUACUUUAUAUCCUCCUCUAAGAUAAAUCUACCCUCCCUCUUUUUUAAGCAUAAGAGCAUUUAUUCUAAAAGGAAACUUUUGGCCAGGCAUGGUGGCUCACGCCUGUAAUCCCAGCACUUUGGGAGGCCUAGGCUGGUGGAUCAUGAGGUCAGGAGUUCGAGACCAGCCUGACCAACAUGGCAAAACCCCGUCUCUACUAAAAAUACAAAAAUUAGCCGGGUGUGGUGGCACGUGCCUGUAGUCCCACCUACUCGGGAGGCUGAGGCAGAAGAAUUGCUUGAACCCGGGAGGCAGAGGUUGCAGUGAGCUGAGAUCACACCACUGCAGUCCAGCCUGGGCAACAAAGCAAGACUCUGUCUCAAAAAAUAAAUAAAUAAAUAAAUAAAAGGAAACUUUUGCUCACUAAUGGAAAUGGAAGUGGCACCUGUCAUAGGCAGAGACAAAUUGUCAAAGUAAACAACUUUUAAGUCUCACUAGACACUCCUGCCCCAGCAGAAUCUGGUCAAAAGCUAGGUCAGCAAAUUUCAGAGGCAGUAUUAAGGACAAAGUAGCAACAAUCCAAACUUUCUUUUUAGGUACUCAGAAAGACUAACAGAACAUUGAGAAGGGGUGUUAGUCACAUCCCCAAACUGCAAGAGGCCAGAAGAUAGCGAGGGGUCUUUCAAACAAUCUAAAAUCUGAGACCCCAAUGUUGGAAAAGAGAAGGAAGGGAAUGGGUUAAAGUGCCAGUUGCUCCCUCCUCAGAUAGCAGGGCCCUGGACAUCCCUAAGAUGUCCCCUUCCUCUUUCAUCCUUCCCUGAUUCCAGCCUCCCCACCUUCCCCAGGCUGGCUUGCCUGAUUUUGUGAGCUCUUCAGCCGGCUUAAAGUGUAAUUCUGUAUUUCUGAUUCUAUCUGUGUUCCAGGAGGCAUUAUCUCUAUCUCUGUAAUAGCUUCUCAAGCAAAAACAUUUUACUGGGUAAAAGAGCAAGGAAUAGGCAUGACCUGAUGCUGAUUUAAAGCAAGAUUCCAGGCAAGCCCCAGAGCCCUCUCUAAGUAGCCUCUCUCCUUUCUGCUGUCUAACGAAACAGCUCCUAAUGGCCAUGGUAUCAUAUUGUAUCUCAUAUUUACACAGCACUCGGCACACAUUCACUUAUUCAGCGGACAUCCAUUGAGGGCCUAUUAUGUGCCAAGUCUUCUGGGUGCUGGCAAUCAACAGUGAACAAAGACCCGUGAGGUUCUUGCUCUACUUGGGAAAACAGGCAAUAAACUCUGAAACAAGUAAAUAAACACGAUCAUGAUGAGGCUACUGAAAAAGCAAUGUGGUAGCAGCGUGACGAUGAUGUGCCAUGGGAGACAGGUGGCAACAUCAAAAAAGGUAGACUGCCCCCGCCCUCCGAAGAGGUGGCAUGUGAGCAAGAAGGAGCCAGCCAAUGGAAAGCUCUGAAAGCAGAGUCUUUUAAAAACAAAACAAAAUCAAAAAACAAAAACAGGGCUCAAAGAAGAUGUCUGCACUUCUGCCAGACGGGGCAGAAAGAAGAUAAUGGUGCUCCAAUCAGGGAGACUGUGGAGGCAGUACAGGUGACAGGAGGCAGGGAAACGAGAAUUAGCCAGAAACACAGUAGGUUUGCCAUGUCAGUCAGACACUCGAGUGUGUUCUUGCUCUUCUCAACAAACCAUAAAGUAAGGACGAUCAGUGUUUCCCAUUUUACAGACAGGAAAACUGAAGCUCGGGAAGGCUACCCAGGUACAUAGGGGCAGUGGUGGGAUGUGAAUCUAUGGUUUAGGAUGCUGACGCCAGCACUAUCCCACCUGCCUCAUGGUAGAGCAGUGUCCAGACACAGAGGUGGCAAUGCAGCAGCUCAAGUGGCAGCUCCAGCACUGCAUGUGUUUUGUCCGUUCUACAUGGGUUUGGAAAAACUCACCUGAGCUAGCGAUCAACUCUUAAAUAUAACCCUUCACUCAAAAAUCUGGCUGUCUAUCUGAAAAUAUUUGAAGACCUGGUCAUAGUGGGACCAUGAUUUGAAUGACAACAAUGGGCUGGAGCAGUAUCUCUGCCCACCUUGAGAGAGGGAUGGGCACUCUGUUUUUCCACAGCCCCCACCUCUCCCGAUUGCUUGCCCCGGCCCCUUCACUCCUCUCCAUUGCAUUCAUGGCCUCCCUAUGCAUUCGGCUUUGAGGCCCCAGCUCUCUAGUGAUGAAAUAUGUGGGAAGAUCCACAAAGCCCAGCAAACGAGGAGUGACCAGAGGAAUUGAGUUACAGUUCCUCCCUAGAACACUUUCCUGCCUUUCUGAUGUAAUCACUUUGCGCAAACAGUAGGAAAUGUUCAGAAGAGCUGCUACAAGGCGGUGAUUAAGAGGUCAGGCCUGGUUCUUAAUUCUAGCUUCAGCAAGUCCUAUCUGUGGGACUUGGGCAAGUUCUAAAAACCUCAGUUUCUUUAUCUGUAAAGCGCAAAUAAUAAUAAUGCCUACUUUAUAAGUAGGAUUAGGGGAAACAGUAAUUUAGGAAACGUGCUCGGAAUGAUGCUAGUUUCGUGGUGAGUAUCCAAUAGAUGGAGCCGUAGUUGUCUUUCUCAUCUUAGAAAGCAGCUGAUUCUCCCAUGUCAUGACAGUGUUUGUGCAACUCCUCUGGAAUUCUCUCCUUUCUUCCUUAGGAGAGCAUUUUCUCAAUGUUCCUCUUUAUCUUUCUCCAAACACAAAGACAAAUCUAAGAGGAAAAAAAAAAUCUUCAAACUGGGUCGCAGAUACUCAGCUUCUUGUCAAUUCUCAUUAGGGUUUAAAAGCUCAGUCUCCUGCAUAUGCCCAAAGAUAAAGCAAUCCCUUCCAUUCCUAAUUCAAAGAACCAAAAAAAAAAAAAAAACAUGUGGUUGGACCUGGUUGAAUAUAUAAACUUUUGGGGAUGGCAAUAAACUAGGCAAAGUCCUGGUUAUUCAAUUUAUUAGCUCAGUUGUGCAACGUAGAAAUAAACAGAAAAUUACUUAUAAUUUUACAAUAAUAUUCAUUUAGAAACAUCACUUUUCUCCAUAUACGUGUUGCAUGAAACAGCUUUACUCCAUUCUUUGCCACACAUAAGGAGGCCGAGGAGGGAAGAUGGCAUGAGGCCAGGAAUUCAAGGCUGCAGUGAGAUAUGAUUGCACCACUACACUUCAGCCUGGGCGACAGGGUGACACCUCAUCUCUAAAAAAUAAAAUAAAAUAAUAAAAAAAUUUUGGAAAUUUUUAAAGCGUCUGCUCCACAGAGCCACAUUUUGCAUUGUGCAGUUUCGUUUUUCAGACCUUUCUCCUCUCUUCCAUCUGACUGCCCUGAGAUCCAGCACUUUUUGCUUCCACAUCUGAGGCUGUCGCUGGAAACAAGGUCUCCAUCCCAUUUGCAUGACAUGAGCACAGUCGGGAUUUGUAUUCAUUCUGUGGGUGUGUGUAUAUUCGUGCUCUCCACAAAAGAACCACUCAGCAUUGCUUUUUCAAGCCGAGCUUUAAAAGGCUUAUUUGCCAUGACAUCCAGCACUUGUAAUUUGAGGUCAUACCCCGAGGAAGAAUUGCUAAAUCUGUGUAAAAUGUUUCUGACUCCUUUUCUUACAGAUUCUGUCAGAUUAUCUCUUUAAGAAUUCUAAGCCCAUGUUGUUUGAGGUGGUUUUAGGCUAAUGUACAUUCCCCAAACAUUUCUUUGCUGUUCAAAAUAAAGCAAUUGAGAGGGUUCUUCGUAAAAACGAAGCACUUUGCAAGAGCUCAAGACAAAAGACAACUCCCUUUUUUCUAGGGGGUAAUUUUGAGGAUAGAAGAAAAACAGUGUUCUAUGUAAGCCUGUACAAUCACGAGAGCCAUUUGCUGAGGGCCAUGUGUGCGAGUGGUUCGUGUGCUCUCCACCUCCUCUUCUUCCUCCCAGGGGAUGAAAUGAGGCCCAACAAGUGCAAGACAUGGACCAUGUCAGCUCGUGACAGAACAGGGCUGGAACCCAAGUCUGCUAGGCUCAGCCCACUCCCUCCCUGUGCCGAGUUGACAUAUUCUACUUACAUUAAGCCAAGUGCUGGGCUCUGAUUAUACAAAAUCAGAUAAGCCAGGACCCUGUGUUCAAGGAGCUCCCAGGCCUGCUGGGGUGAGAGUGGAGCAGCAAGGAUGGAAGUGCACAGAUGCAAGGGUGGCCAGGCCUAUGGGGAUACAGGCAAGGGAGGCUGAGUGUU